UGUGGCGGACGGGUGAGUAACGCGUAAGAAUCUAACUUCAGGACGGGGACAACAGUUGGAAACGACUGCUAAUACCCGAUGUGCCGCAAGGUGAAACCUAAUUGGCCUGGAGAAGAGCUUGCGUCUGAUUAGCUAGUUGGUGGGGUAAAGGCCUACCAAGGCGACGAUCAGUAGCUGGUCUGAGAGGAUGAGCAGCCACACUGGGACUGAGACACGGCCCAGACUCCUACGGGAGGCAGCAGUGGGGAAUUUUCCGCAAUGGGCGAAAGCCUGACGGAGCAACGCCGCGUGAGGGAGGAAGGUCUUUGGAUUGUAAACCUCUUUUCUCAAGGAAGAAGUUCUGACGGUACUUGAGGAAUCAGCCUCGGCUAACUCCGUGCCAGCAGCCACGGUAAUACGGGGGAGGCAAGCGUUAUCCGGAAUUAUUGGGCGUAAAGCGUCCGCAGGUGGUCAGCCAAGUCUGCCGUCAAAUCAGGUUGCUUAACGACCUAAAGGCGGUGGAAACUGGCAGACUAGAGAGCAGUAGGGGUAGCAGGAAUUCCCAGUGUAGCGGUGAAAUGCGUAGAGAUUGGGAAGAACAUCGGUGGCGAAAGCGUGCUACUGGGCUGUAUCUGACACUCAGGGACGAAAGCUAGGGGAGCGAAAGGGAUUAGAUACCCCUGUAGUCCUAGCCGUAAACGAUGGAUACUAGGCGUGGCUU
This 700-nucleotide ribosomal RNA is filed under the name uncultured bacterium. RNAcentral describes it as "bacterial SSU rRNA". It matches the Rfam family "Bacterial small subunit ribosomal RNA", at positions 94 to 828 of the family's 1533-position model. The record is from RNAcentral.